This 2919-nucleotide ribosomal RNA is filed under the name Staphylococcus aureus. RNAcentral describes it as "bacterial LSU rRNA". It matches the Rfam family "Bacterial large subunit ribosomal RNA". Lineage: Bacteria; Bacillati; Bacillota; Bacilli; Caryophanales; Staphylococcaceae. The record is from RNAcentral.
UAAGUUAUUAAGGGCGCACGGUGGAUGCCUUGGCACUAGAAGCCGAUGAAGGACGUUACUAACGACGAUAUGCUUUGGGGAGCUGUAAGUAAGCUUUGAUCCAGAGAUUUCCGAAUGGGGAAACCCAGCAUGAGUUAUGUCAUGUUAUCGAUAUGUGAAUACAUAGCAUAUCAGAAGGCACACCCGGAGAACUGAAACAUCUUAGUACCCGGAGGAAGAGAAAGAAAAUUCGAUUCCCUUAGUAGCGGCGAGCGAAACGGGAAGAGCCCAAACCAAAAAGCUUGCUUGUUGGGGUUGUAGGACACUCUAUACGGAGUUACAAAGGACGACAUUAGACGAAUCAUCUGGAAAGAUGAAUCAAAGAAGGUAAUAAUCCUGUAGUCGAAAAUGUUGUCUCUCUUGAGUGGAUCCUGAGUACGACGGAGCACGUGAAAUUCCGUCGGAAUCUGGGAGGACCAUCUCCUAAGGCUAAAUACUCUCUAGUGACCGAUAGUGAACCAGUACCGUGAGGGAAAGGUGAAAAGCACCCCGGAAGGAGAGUGAAAUAGAACCUGAAACCGUGUGCUUACAAGUAGUCAGAGCCCGUUAAUGGGUGAUGGCGUGCCUUUUGUAGAAUGAACCGGCGAGUUACGAUUUGAUGCAAGGUUAAGCAGUAAAUGUGGAGCCGUAGCGAAAGCGAGUCUGAAUAGGGCGUUUAGUAUUUGGUCGUAGACCCGAAACCAGGUGAUCUACCCUUGGUCAGGUUGAAGUUCAGGUAACACUGAAUGGAGGACCGAACCGACUUACGUUGAAAAGUGAGCGGAUGAACUGAGGGUAGCGGAGAAAUUCCAAUCGAACCUGGAGAUAGCUGGUUCUCUCCGAAAUAGCUUUAGGGCUAGCCUCAAGUGAUGAUUAUUGGAGGUAGAGCACUGUUUGGACGAGGGGCCCCUCUCGGGUUACCGAAUUCAGACAAACUCCGAAUGCCAAUUAAUUUAACUUGGGAGUCAGAACAUGGGUGAUAAGGUCCGUGUUCGAAAGGGAAACAGCCCAGACCACCAGCUAAGGUCCCAAAAUAUAUGUUAAGUGGAAAAGGAUGUGGCGUUGCCCAGACAACUAGGAUGUUGGCUUAGAAGCAGCCAUCAUUUAAAGAGUGCGUAAUAGCUCACUAGUCGAGUGACACUGCGCCGAAAAUGUACCGGGGCUAAACAUAUUACCGAAGCUGUGGAUUGUCCUUUGGACAAUGGUAGGAGAGCGUUCUAAGGGCGUUGAAGCAUGAUCGUAAGGACAUGUGGAGCGCUUAGAAGUGAGAAUGCCGGUGUGAGUAGCGAAAGACGGGUGAGAAUCCCGUCCACCGAUUGACUAAGGUUUCCAGAGGAAGGCUCGUCCGCUCUGGGUUAGUCGGGUCCUAAGCUGAGGCCGACAGGCGUAGGCGAUGGAUAACAGGUUGAUAUUCCUGUACCACCUAUAAUCGUUUUAAUCGAUGGGGGGACGCAGUAGGAUAGGCGAAGCGUGCGAUUGGAUUGCACGUCUAAGCAGUAAGGCUGAGUAUUAGGCAAAUCCGGUACUCGUUAAGGCUGAGCUGUGAUGGGGAGAAGACAUUGAGUCUUCGAGUCGUUGAUUUCACACUGCCGAGAAAAGCCUCUAGAUAGAAAAUAGGUGCCCGUACCGCAAACCGACACAGGUAGUCAAGAUGAGAAUUCUAAGGUGAGCGAGCGAACUCUCGUUAAGGAACUCGGCAAAAUGACCCCGUAACUUCGGGAGAAGGGGUGCUCUUUAGGGUUAACGCCCAGAAGAGCCGCAGUGAAUAGGCCCAAGCGACUGUUUAUCAAAAACACAGGUCUCUGCUAAACCGUAAGGUGAUGUAUAGGGGCUGACGCCUGCCCGGUGCUGGAAGGUUAAGAGGAGUGGUUAGCUUCUGCGAAGCUACGAAUCGAAGCCCCAGUAAACGGCGGCCGUAACUAUAACGGUCCUAAGGUAGCGAAAUUCCUUGUCGGGUAAGUUCCGACCCGCACGAAAGGCGUAACGAUUUGGGCACUGUCUCAACGAGAGACUCGGUGAAAUCAUAGUACCUGUGAAGAUGCAGGUUACCCGCGACAGGACGGAAAGACCCCGUGGAGCUUUACUGUAGCCUGAUAUUGAAAUUCGGCACAGCUUGUACAGGAUAGGUAGGAGCCUUUGAAACGUGAGCGCUAGCUUACGUGGAGGCGCUGGUGGGAUACUACCCUAGCUGUGUUGGCUUUCUAACCCGCACCACUUAUCGUGGUGGGAGACAGUGUCAGGCGGGCAGUUUGACUGGGGCGGUCGCCUCCUAAAAGGUAACGGAGGCGCUCAAAGGUUCCCUCAGAAUGGUUGGAAAUCAUUCAUAGAGUGUAAAGGCAUAAGGGAGCUUGACUGCGAGACCUACAAGUCGAGCAGGGUCGAAAGACGGACUUAGUGAUCCGGUGGUUCCGCAUGGAAGGGCCAUCGCUCAACGGAUAAAAGCUACCCCGGGGAUAACAGGCUUAUCUCCCCCAAGAGUUCACAUCGACGGGGAGGUUUGGCACCUCGAUGUCGGCUCAUCGCAUCCUGGGGCUGUAGUCGGUCCCAAGGGUUGGGCUGUUCGCCCAUUAAAGCGGUACGCGAGCUGGGUUCAGAACGUCGUGAGACAGUUCGGUCCCUAUCCGUCGUGGGCGUAGGAAAUUUGAGAGGAGCUGUCCUUAGUACGAGAGGACCGGGAUGGACAUACCUCUGGUGUACCAGUUGUCGUGCCAACGGCAUAGCUGGGUAGCUAUGUGUGGACGGGAUAAGUGCUGAAAGCAUCUAAGCAUGAAGCCCCCCUCAAGAUGAGAUUUCCCAACUUCGGUUAUAAGAUCCCUCAAAGAUGAUGAGGUUAAUAGGUUCGAGGUGGAAGCAUGGUGACAUGUGGAGCUGACGAAUACUAAUCGAUCGAAGACUUAAUCA